RNAcentral lists this microRNA precursor (75 nucleotides) under Oncorhynchus kisutch (coho salmon). Its description in RNAcentral is "mir-205 microRNA precursor family". It matches the Rfam family "mir-205 microRNA precursor family". The record is from Rfam by way of RNAcentral. Lineage: Eukaryota; Metazoa; Chordata; Actinopteri; Salmoniformes; Salmonidae. RNAcentral also lists the same sequence under 6 other names.
GCAUUCUAUCCUUCAUUCCACCGGAGUCUGUGUCAUGAACCAAUCAGAUUUCAGUGGUAUGAAGAGUAAGAAACA